UACGGAGGGCGCAAGCGUUGUUCGGAAUUACUGGGCGUAAAGGGCGCGUAGGCGGCCUGGUCAGUCGGGUGUGAAAGCCCGGGGCUCAACCCCGGAACGGCACCCGAGACGGUCAGGCUGGAGACCGGGAGAGGAGGGUGGAAUAGCCAGUGUAGAGGUGAAAUUCGUAGAUAUUGGCUGGAACACCGGUGGCGAAAGCGGCUCUCUGGCCCGGUUCUGACGCUGAGGCGCGAAAGCGUGGGGAGCAAACAGG
This 253-nucleotide ribosomal RNA is filed under the name uncultured bacterium. RNAcentral's name for it is "partial 16S ribosomal RNA". It matches the Rfam family "Bacterial small subunit ribosomal RNA", at positions 524 to 776 of the family's 1533-position model. The record is from RNAcentral.